UACGUAGGGGGCAAGCGUUGUCCGGAAUCAUUGGGCGUAAAGAGCGUGUAGGCGGCCAGAAAAGUCCGCUGUGAAAACUCGAGGCUCAACUUCGAGCUGUCGGUGGAAACUUUCUGGCUAGAGUCCGGAAGAGGAGAAUGGAAUUCCUGGUGUAGCGGUGAAAUGCGCAGAUAUCAGGAAGAACACCCGUGGCGAGGGCGGUUCUCUGGGACGGUACUGACGCUGAGACGCGAAAGCGUGGGGAGCGAACAGG
This 253-nucleotide ribosomal RNA is filed under the name uncultured bacterium. Its description in RNAcentral is "partial 16S ribosomal RNA". It matches the Rfam family "Bacterial small subunit ribosomal RNA", at positions 524 to 776 of the family's 1533-position model. The record is from RNAcentral.